Non-coding RNA from Cordylochernes scorpioides, 72 nucleotides. The record is from the annotation of a GenBank genome assembly. NCBI's taxonomy places the organism in Eukaryota, Metazoa, Arthropoda, Arachnida, Pseudoscorpiones, Chernetidae.
GGUUGGUGGUUGAGUGGUCUAAACUGUUGGUUUUCAACCAUUAGGACCUGGGAUCAAAUCUUGCAUUGAGCA